UACGUAGGGGGCGAGCGUUGUCCGGAGUUACUGGGCGUAAAGCGCUUGUAGGCGGUCCACCAAGUUUGGGGUGACAGUUGCCGACUUAAUCGGCAAAGUGCCUCAAAGACUGGCGGACUUGAGGGCCACAGAGGGACAUGGAACUCCAGGUGUAGUGGUGAAAUGCGUAGAUAUCUGGAAGAACACCAAAGGCGAAGGCAGUGUCCUGGGUGGUCGCUGACGCUGAGAGGCGAAAGCCAGGGGAGCGAACAGG
RNAcentral lists this ribosomal RNA (253 nucleotides) under uncultured bacterium. RNAcentral's name for it is "partial 16S ribosomal RNA". It matches the Rfam family "Bacterial small subunit ribosomal RNA", at positions 524 to 776 of the family's 1533-position model. The record is from RNAcentral.